This is a small nuclear RNA of Jaculus jaculus (lesser Egyptian jerboa), 107 nucleotides long. The record is from Ensembl. Lineage: Eukaryota; Metazoa; Chordata; Mammalia; Rodentia; Dipodidae.
GUACUCACUUUGGCAGCACAUAUACUAAAAUGGGAAUGAUACCAAGAAGAUUAGCAUGAUCUCUGUGCAAGGAUGAAACACAAAUUCAUGAAGCAUUCUAUAAAAAA